Molecule: long non-coding RNA, 356 nt
Filed under: Nicotiana benthamiana
Lineage: Eukaryota; Viridiplantae; Streptophyta; Magnoliopsida; Solanales; Solanaceae
Description: long non-coding RNA (NBEN_LNC019235)
Source: RNAcentral
UCUCUUUGAAAGAACAACAAACACUGCAUAUCUCUCACAAUUUAAAAACUUUCUGAAUACUCUCUUUCACUUUCUCUCUGCUAUCAUUUGAACACUCAAUCGGCUGAAAGCCAAGGUUGAGUAAAAUUUGGUUUGAAUGCUUCUACACUAAUGGGUUCUAUUGCUUAUUUACUUUGGUUUUGCUGCUACUGCUAUUCUCACAAUGUUGUUGCACACUGUUACUCUCUCUGCUGCUCACACUCUCUUCUCACCUUAUUCCUCUGUGCACUAUUGCUCUUUGUGUUCUGUUUGUCUGCAACUGGUAUGUUACCUAUUUAGUAUACAGUCCCCAAAACAAUAUAUUUCAGUUAAUCAUG